This 423-nucleotide ribosomal RNA is filed under the name uncultured bacterium. RNAcentral describes it as "bacterial SSU rRNA". It matches the Rfam family "Bacterial small subunit ribosomal RNA", at positions 207 to 622 of the family's 1533-position model. The record is from RNAcentral.
AAGACCUUGCGCUUUUGGAGCGGCCGAUGCCUGAUUGGCUUGUUGGUAAGGUAAAAGCUUACCAAGGCUUCGAUCAGUAGCUGGUCUGAGAGGACGGCCAGCCACACUGGGACUGAGACACGGCCCAGACUCCUACGGGAGGCAGCAGUGGGGAAUUUUGGACAAUGGGGGCAACCCUGAUCCAGCCAUGCCGCGUGAGUGAAGAAGGCCUUCGGGUUGUAAAGCUCUUUCAGCCGGAACGAAACGGUUACGGUUAAUACCCGUGACUACUGACGGUACCGGAAGAAGAAGCACCGGCUAACUACGUGCCAGCAGCCGCGGUAAUACGUAGGGUGCGAGCGUUAAUCGGAAUUACUGGGCGUAAAGCGUGCGCAGGUGGUUUUGUAAGUCAGAUGUGAAAGCCCCGGGCUUAACCUGGGAACU